GAUGAACGCUGGCGGUAUGCUUAACACAUGCAAGUCGAACGGACUCUUCGGAGUUAGUGGCGGACGCGUGAGUAACGCGUGAGAAUCUGGCUUUGGGUUCGGGACAACCACUGGAAACGGUGGCUAAUACCGGAUGUGCCGAGAGGUAAAAGAGAAAUUGCCUGAAGAUGAGCUCGCGUCUGAUUAGCUAGUUGGUGAGGUAAAGGCUCACCAAGGCAGCGAUCAGUAGCUGGUCUGAGAGGAUGACCAGCCACACUGGGACUGAGACACGGCCCAGACUCCUACGGGAGGCAGCAGUGGGGAAUUUUCCGCAAUGGGCGAAAGCCUGACGGAGCAAUACCGCGUGAGGGAAGAAGGCUCUUGGGUUGUAAACCUCUUUUCUUAGGGAAGAACAAAAUGACGGUACCUAAGGAAUCAGCAUCGGCUAACUCCGUG
Molecule: ribosomal RNA, 435 nt
Filed under: uncultured bacterium
Lineage: Bacteria
Description: partial 16S ribosomal RNA
Rfam family: Bacterial small subunit ribosomal RNA
Source: RNAcentral